RNAcentral lists this ribosomal RNA (501 nucleotides) under uncultured Glomeromycotina. Its description in RNAcentral is "partial small subunit ribosomal RNA". It matches the Rfam family "Eukaryotic small subunit ribosomal RNA", at positions 591 to 1092 of the family's 1831-position model. The record is from RNAcentral. Lineage: Eukaryota; Fungi; Glomeromycota.
CCAAUAGCGUAUAUUAAAGUUGUUGCAGUUAAAAAGCUCGUAGUUGAAUUUCAGGGGUUAGUAGGUUGGUCAUGCCUCUGGUAUGUACUGGUCUCACUGAUUCCUCCUUCCUGAUGAGCCGUAAUGCCAUUAAUUUGGUGUUGCGGGGAAUUUGGACUGUUACUUUGAAAAAAUUAGAGUGUUUAAAGCAAGCUAACGCUUGAAUACAUUAGCAUGGAAUAAUGAAAUAGGACGUUCGAUCCUAUUUUGUUGGUUUCUAGGAUUGACGUAAUGAUUAAUAGGGAUAGUUGGGGGCAUUAGUAUUCAAUUGUCAGAGGUGAAAUUCUUGGAUUUAUUGAAGACUAACUACUGCGAAAGCAUUUGCCAAGGAUGUUUUCAUUAAUCAAGAACGAAAGUUAGGGGAUCGAAGACGAUCAGAUACCGUCGUAGUCUUAACCAUAAACUAUGCCGACCAGGGAUCGGAUGAUGUUAAUUUUUUAAUGACUCAUUCGGCGCCUUACG